Odocoileus virginianus texanus is the source of this 412-nucleotide long non-coding RNA. RefSeq lists it as uncharacterized. The record is from RefSeq and is a predicted model, not a curated record. Lineage: Eukaryota; Metazoa; Chordata; Mammalia; Artiodactyla; Cervidae.
GUCAGCUGAAGACCUCUACUUCGUCUUAGUCAAGGAGGACAUGUCCAUGGUAUAUGCAGUCUGUGGAGAUCCAGAAACGAUGCUUAAUACUCAUCUAUCUGAACACUUCUCUUGGCUGUGCUGAACCAUCAUCCUAUGGGUUUGGCCUGGGCAAGCCUAUCUGUGAGUCAGCACUUCUUUAAUAAUCUCAAAUCUCCAGGAUAUUUACUGACAUCUUCGUAUCAUCACUCCAACCUCAUGAAUGGAGCUAGAAGAUACUACAAGCGCUGCCGGAAGUCCGUUGCUACAGAAUCAGCCGCCACUCUGGGAAGUAGAAUCCUGUCAAAGGAAGCAAAUUCUGAAUCAUGAGCCCAUCCUGAUACUACAGACCAAGAUCCAGAAGAGCUGACUCUAGUAAGAAUUCUCAUCCUUA